CUGUAGACUAGGUCGGCAGGUUAGCCCUCUGCUACUUGCAAACGGGCUUUAUGGCAGACUGUAAGGAGGGGCGUGAUAAGAGUGUUAAAAAGUCUUUAUUCGGACGUUGACGCUCUGUCUGCUUCGACCUUAUAGAUGCGAAACGGGUCAGGCCUUGACCGGAGCAGCCCUAAACAUUUAUUAAGGUGCUUAGCAGGUUGCAGAGCCGAGAAAGAAUAAAGGUAGCUUUUUAGCAAUCUUUGAGCAAACCUCUGAGUCUACAC
RNAcentral lists this signal recognition particle RNA (263 nucleotides) under Candidatus Pacearchaeota archaeon. Its description in RNAcentral is "signal recognition particle sRNA". It matches the Rfam family "Bacterial large signal recognition particle RNA". Rfam says of the family: The signal recognition particle (SRP) is a universally conserved ribonucleoprotein involved in the co-translational targeting of proteins to membranes. Archaeal SRP consists of a 7S RNA and homologues of the eukaryotic SRP19 and SRP54 proteins. In most bacteria, the SRP consists of a 4.5S RNA and the Ffh protein (a homologue of the eukaryotic SRP54 protein). Lineage: Archaea; Nanobdellati. The record is from RNAcentral.